Molecule: ribosomal RNA, 397 nt
Filed under: uncultured bacterium
Lineage: Bacteria
Description: partial 16S ribosomal RNA
Rfam family: Bacterial small subunit ribosomal RNA
Source: RNAcentral
AAUCUUGCGCAAUGGGCGAAAGCCUGACGCACCCAUCCCGCGUGAAUGAUGAAGGUCUUAGGAUUGGAAAAUUCUUUCACCGGGGACGAUAAUGACGGUACCCGGAGAAGAAGCCCCGGCUAACUUCGUGCCAGCAGCCGCGGUAAGACGAAGGGGGCGAGCGUUGCUCGGAAUUACUGGGCGUAAAGGCCGCGUAGGCGGAUCGUUAAGUCAGGGGUGAAAUCCCGGGGCUAAACCUCGGAAUUGCCCUUGAUACUGGCGAUCUUGAGUAUGAGAGAGGUAUGUGGAACUCCGAGUGUAGAGGUGAAAUUAGUAGAUAUUCGGAAGAACACCAGUGGCGAAGGCGACAUACUGGCUCAUUACUGACGCUGAGGCGCGAAAGCGUGGGGAGCAAACA